This 443-nucleotide long non-coding RNA is filed under the name Androctonus crassicauda. The record is from RNAcentral. Lineage: Eukaryota; Metazoa; Arthropoda; Arachnida; Scorpiones; Buthidae.
CGUAGUUGUUCUGCACUUCGCUGGUUUCUUAUCUAUUUUUUUAAAUAUGUUUUUUACAGUACUCAUUUUGUUUGGGUGGUAUGGGAUUGGUAUGUAGCCUUUGUUAUCUUCCGCUUUGUUUUUUUCUGUUAAUUGUUUCGUGCUUCUAUUUAAGUUUUGCUUUAUUUUUUCUUCUAUGGAUUUUGUGAGGCCUAGUUUGUAUCCGUGUUUUUUGCCUAUUUUGUAUAUGUGUUCGGGUUCCUCUUUGAGCUUCUCGUCUGUGGUGCAGUAUUUGUGUGCUCUUCUGAAAAAUGCUCGAAAUGCAGCCUUUUUGAUCGAUAGUGAGUCUGGGGACCAGUUUGGUAUGAUGACCGGUUGGUAUAGUGGUUUUCUGUGGAGCGCUGUUGUUAAGGUGUUGUUGUUGAUGGUUAUUUCGAUGUCUAGAUAUCCUAUUUUGGAUUUGC